AACGAACGCUGGCGGCAGGCUUAACACAUGCAAGUCGAGCGGGCCCUUCGGGGUCAGCGGCGGACGGGUUAGUAACGCGUGGGAACGUGCCCUCUUCUACGGAAUAGCCUCGGGAAACUGAGAUUAAUACCGUAUACGUCCCGUAAGGGAGAAAGAUUUAUCGGAGGAGGAUCGGCCCGCGUUGGAUUAGGUAGUUGGUGAGGUAACGGCUCACCAAGCGGACGAUCCAUAGCUGGUUUGAGAGGAUGAUCAGCAACACUGGGACUGAGACACGGCCCAGACUCCUACGGGAGGCAG
This 297-nucleotide ribosomal RNA is filed under the name uncultured Pseudomonadota bacterium. RNAcentral describes it as "uncultured proteobacterium partial 16S ribosomal RNA". It matches the Rfam family "Bacterial small subunit ribosomal RNA", at positions 29 to 351 of the family's 1533-position model. Lineage: Bacteria; Pseudomonadati; Pseudomonadota. The record is from RNAcentral.